GGGAAAUUUAUUUUCAGGACCACAGACUCUGAAAUAUGAAAGAGAAGUAAUAUUUCCCCAGUCUUUCUUUUUUUUUUUGGUACCGGAGAUCGAACUCGGGACCUUGCGCUUGCGAGGCAGGCACCAGAACCACUGAGGUAAAUCCCCGGCCCUCCCCAGUCUUUCUUGCCUCAAUGAGUAAAAAGAGAUUCUAGUAAUUUGACCAAAUUUAAUUCACUCUGACGUACACAUUUUGUCUUUUUGACUCAAAUGAAACUACAGAGCCAGCAUGGUGAUGCACACCUGUAAUCCCAACAGCAUGGAAGCCAAGACAGGAAGAUCACAGGCCAGCUUGGGCAACUUGAUGUGACCUCACCUCUGCUGAACCCCUGGAGUUCUAGAAAUGACCCAAAUGCCCAUCAAUUGUUACAGCCUCAAUGGUCCUGUGACUCUGUGAUGCUCAAUGGCAGAAUUACACCAGCUGAAGACAUCUUGAGGAGGAACAAAAUCUUCAUCUGCAUAGUUCCUCACUGUUCUAGGAUUAUUGCUGCCCUGCCCUCUGAGUCAUCUGUUACAUUUGUUACUCCUGAUAUACUAAAUCUGCAGCCCUCUGAGUCAUCUGUUACUCCUGAUGUACCAAAUAAAGCUGUGCUAAGCUCAGGGUCUUUCUAUUCUUUUUUUUUUUUUUUUGGUACCAGGGAUCAAACUCAGGACCUUGCACUUGUGAGGCAAGGAUGACACCACUGAGCUAAAUCCCCGGCCCAGCUUGGGGCCUUUCAUCUUUGCUGCCCAAUGGAGAAUUGAUCAGGCCCAAAGUUCAGCUUCUUCUCUAAGUCUCAUUUUCUGUCUUACUUCAUUAAUUCACCUUGUGCUGUCAUGGCUCACAGGAGACUAGGACUCACUGCAGGAAUUCUAGUAACAUCCCCUUUCCCUGUUCCCUACAAGGUGGGCAUGGUG
This 936-nucleotide long non-coding RNA is filed under the name Heterocephalus glaber (naked mole-rat). RNAcentral's name for it is "lncRNA (ENSHGLG00000033411.1)". Lineage: Eukaryota; Metazoa; Chordata; Mammalia; Rodentia; Bathyergidae. The record is from RNAcentral.